CGGCGAACGGGUGAGUAACACGUGGGCAACCCACCCUUGGUAUCCGGAUAGCCCGAGGAAACUCGGAUUAAUACGGAAUGGCCCAACAGUCUUUCGGGACGGUUGGAAAAGGUAGCUUCGGCCUCCGACCAAGGACGGGCCCGCGGUGGAUUAGCUUGUUGGUGGGGUAAUGGCCUACCAAGGCGACGAUCCUUAGCUGGUCUGAGAGGAUGAUCAGCCACACUGGGACUGAGACACGGCCCAG
RNAcentral lists this ribosomal RNA (244 nucleotides) under uncultured bacterium. RNAcentral describes it as "partial 16S ribosomal RNA". It matches the Rfam family "Bacterial small subunit ribosomal RNA", at positions 96 to 334 of the family's 1533-position model. The record is from RNAcentral.